GUGUACAUUAUAAGACAAAAAAAUAUGAAAUAAUCGUUUACGCCGUAUUACUUUUUGGUUUAUGCGAACACAUUCUGUCAGUUUUAUUUCAUGAAAAAACCGUUGAAAUAUGUGACCACAAAAAUAACAUUGAUCUAGACUCAGUGAGACUAUACUUUGAGAGAUUAUUUGUUUCUAAAACAAUACCUUAUGCUCCAUGGAAAAUGAUAUUUUAUGAGGUAUAAAUAUUUAAAAUCUAUCUUAUAUUUGUUUUUUUUUUUCAAGUAGGUCGGCAAAGAAGCGUACGGCUCACCUGAUGGUAACCGAUUACUUUAGCCUAUAGACGCCUGCAGCACCAGAACCAUCGCAAGUGCGUUGCCGACCCUAUUUCCAAUCCUCCCCAGGAGCUCUGGUCACCUUAUUUACCAACAGGAACACAAUAGUGCUUGAAAAUCGUAUUAUUUAGCUGUGGUCUUCUGUAACGUCGAAACUAUUCCAGUCGGGCUGCUCCAUAUC
This 495-nucleotide unclassified non-coding RNA is filed under the name Melitaea cinxia (Glanville fritillary). Its description in RNAcentral is "misc RNA ENSMCXG00005002520.1". The record is from RNAcentral. Lineage: Eukaryota; Metazoa; Arthropoda; Insecta; Lepidoptera; Nymphalidae.